Molecule: unclassified non-coding RNA, 41 nt
Filed under: Canis lupus familiaris (dog)
Lineage: Eukaryota; Metazoa; Chordata; Mammalia; Carnivora; Canidae
Description: RNA helix from Canis lupus familiaris (PDB 4V5Z, chain AH)
Source: RNAcentral
GGAACCCGGGUGAAAGCCUGGGGUGCCCCGCCCGGGGAGCC